UUCGGUGGUUAUAGCGUGGAGGGAACGCCCGGUUACAUUCCGAACCCGGAAGCUAAGCUUCACUGCGCCGAUGGUACUGCAUGCGGGAGUGUGUGGGAGAGUAGGACGCCGCCGAAC
Molecule: ribosomal RNA, 117 nt
Filed under: Streptomyces cacaoi
Lineage: Bacteria; Bacillati; Actinomycetota; Actinomycetes; Kitasatosporales; Streptomycetaceae
Also listed under: 1 other name
Source: RNAcentral